GGGGCCGUAGUCUAGCCAGGGUUAUGACGACGGGCUCCAGACCCGUAGGUCGUCGGUUCAAAUCCGGCCGGCCCCACCA
Molecule: transfer RNA, 79 nt
Filed under: Candidatus Bathyarchaeota archaeon
Lineage: Archaea; Thermoproteati; Candidatus Bathyarchaeota
Also listed under: 2 other names
Description: tRNA-Trp
Rfam family: tRNA
About the family: Transfer RNA (tRNA) molecules are approximately 80 nucleotides in length. Their secondary structure includes four short double-helical elements and three loops (D, anti-codon, and T loops).
Source: RNAcentral